UAGUAAAAACCCGGAACUAGUAUUUCAUUGAACAAGUGAUACAUUAAUACAGAUUUGGAAUUACCAAGACAAAGGGGUUUUAUUUAUUUGCACCACAACCUACCUAGCUAUUACAAUCCUAACAUCUACCUAAGCAUGAGAAUGUUGAGUACAAAGAAAGGAUAAGUGAAUAUGUGUGCAAAAAUCUGCAGCACCCUUCACUCUCCCCUAUGCCAGCUGCCCCACCCCUCCAAUCCCCUUCUCCCUACACCCUACUACCAUCCAUUAGCACACUCAAGUGCACCAACCCUUUGCCUUCCAGCCAACAUCAAACCACAGCCAACAAAACACUGCAUUCUCCUCAUUCUACACUUAGAAAUUUUCAGAAUAACAGAUCUUCCUUCAUUCGGUCUGCCAACUUCUAGUCAUUCCAGUCCAGAAACUUUAAGGUAAACAUUGGCUUUAAUUUCUCAUCUUCUUCCAUUUGCAACCUGCAUUUAUUGAAAGGAACAGAUAUGAUUUAUUUCAGAGUCCUUCCAUAGCAGCCAACCAACACUUAUACCUCAAGGUAUUUUAUGCUAUCUCAGUUCACUAUCUUCAUAUAUACAUUUCACACCCCAACAAAGCAUGCUUCAUGUAUUAGAAGUUCAUAAAUACAAGAUGAAGUAUAUUACAGAGGGACAUAGCAAACCACAUAUGCGUACAUGAUUAUAGCAUUCCACAGAAAUAGUUUGACUCAUACAUUGAUAUAGAUUGCCACUGUACUUAGAACCGAAAGCCAUAAAGAACAAGCAUUUAACCCUUACAUAGUCAGGGACAUAAAGGCCCAAUCCUUGAUAACCAUAUGGAAGAAAAGGAGAAUAAAACUUAGCUUUUGGAAGAAGAGAGGCCUACUGCCC
Molecule: long non-coding RNA, 878 nt
Filed under: Salvia miltiorrhiza (redroot sage)
Lineage: Eukaryota; Viridiplantae; Streptophyta; Magnoliopsida; Lamiales; Lamiaceae
Description: long non-coding RNA (SMIL_LNC001045)
Source: RNAcentral